GUGGGGAAUUUUGGACAAUGGGCGCAAGCCUGAUCCAGCCAUGCCGCGUGCAGGAUGAAGGCCUUCGGGUUGUAAACUGCUUUUGUACGGAACGAAAAGACUUCUUCUAAUACAGGAGGUCCAUGACGGUACCGUAAGAAUAAGCACCGGCUAACUACGUGCCAGCAGCCGCGGUAAUACGUAGGGUGCAAGCGUUAAUCGGAAUUACUGGGCGUAAAGCGUGCGCAGACGGUUAUAUAAGACAGAUGUGAAAUCCCCGGGCUCAACCUGGGAACUGCAUUUGUGACUGUAUAGCUAGAGUACGGUAGAGGGGGAUGGAAUUCCGCGUGUAGCAGUGAAAUGCGUAGAUAUGCGGAGGAACACCGAUGGCGAAGGCAAUCCCCUGGACCUGUACUGACGCUCAUGCACGAAAGCGUGGGGAGCAAACAGGAUUAGAUACCCCAGUAGUCC
Molecule: ribosomal RNA, 450 nt
Filed under: uncultured bacterium
Lineage: Bacteria
Description: partial 16S ribosomal RNA
Rfam family: Bacterial small subunit ribosomal RNA
Source: RNAcentral